CAAAACAUAUAUUAAACGAAAGAAAAAAGUACAAAGAAGAGGGGGGACAAAAACCAAAACCCUCCAUAAAAGCAAAAGAAAACUAAAACAUAAAGAAAGCUAAAAAAGCAAACUAAUGAGGCGAACGGCCGGAAGCACCCACCUUGAACCUCUGCCCGCCUCAGGUUGCUUCUUCUUGAGUCUUCUUGAGUUUCUUCUUUCUAGGGACCACCAAUUGAAAUGGUUGACUCGCGUUUUCGUCCAAAUCAACAAUUUCAUCGUUCCGAACCAUGUUAGCCACACUCGUCACCCUUCUUUCAGUCACAUGACCCUAACUUUACCAUUGCUCGAAGGCUCACCCUUGAACUUUUACAAUUACAUAAUGAAAUUUAUGAUUCAUUUUUUCCCCUUAAUUGAAGCAUUAAAAUUAUUAUGCACGACAAUUUCAAUAUUAUUAUUAAAU
RNAcentral lists this long non-coding RNA (442 nucleotides) under Medicago truncatula (barrel medic). RNAcentral's name for it is "long non-coding RNA (MTRU_LNC007863)". Lineage: Eukaryota; Viridiplantae; Streptophyta; Magnoliopsida; Fabales; Fabaceae. The record is from RNAcentral.